UACGUAGGGUGCAAGCGUUAAUCGGAAUUACUGGGCGUAAAGCGUGCGCAGGCGGUUUUGUAAGACUGUCGUGAAAUCCCCGGGCUCAACCUGGGAAUGGCGAUGGUGACUGCAAGGCUAGAGUUUGGCAGAGGGGGGUAGAAUUCCACGUGCAGCAGUGAGAUGCGUAGAUAUGUGGAGGAACACCGAUGGCGAAGGCAGCCCCCUGGGUCAAAACUGACGCUCAUGCACGAAAGCGUGGGGAGCAAACAGG
RNAcentral lists this ribosomal RNA (253 nucleotides) under uncultured bacterium. Its description in RNAcentral is "partial 16S ribosomal RNA". It matches the Rfam family "Bacterial small subunit ribosomal RNA", at positions 524 to 776 of the family's 1533-position model. The record is from RNAcentral.